UAAGUUCCGACCUUCACGAAUGGCGUAACGACUUCCCCACUGUCUCCAGGACAUGCUCAGCGAAAUUGAAUUCUCCGUGAAGAUGCGGAGUACCCGCGGUUAGACGGAAAGACCCCGUGCACCUUUACUGCAGCUUCAGAGUGGCAUUAGGAAAGAACUGUGUAGCAUAGGUGGGAGGCUUUGAAGCAUCGACGCCAGUUGAUGU
RNAcentral lists this ribosomal RNA (205 nucleotides) under uncultured Isochrysis. RNAcentral describes it as "partial Bacterial large subunit ribosomal RNA". It matches the Rfam family "Bacterial large subunit ribosomal RNA", at positions 1977 to 2181 of the family's 2925-position model. Lineage: Eukaryota; Haptophyta; Isochrysidales. The record is from RNAcentral.